This 1141-nucleotide ribosomal RNA is filed under the name uncultured Neocallimastigales. Its description in RNAcentral is "partial large subunit ribosomal RNA". It matches the Rfam family "Eukaryotic large subunit ribosomal RNA", at positions 26 to 629 of the family's 3401-position model. The record is from RNAcentral. Lineage: Eukaryota; Fungi; Neocallimastigomycota; Neocallimastigomycetes; Neocallimastigales.
CGCAUCUGUGCAUGCAGCAUAUCAAUAAGCGGAGGAAAAGAAACUAACAAGGAUUCCCUUAGUAACGGCGAGUGAAGCGGGAAGAGCUCAAAUUUGAAAUCUUCAAGGUUUUACCUUGACGAAUUGUAGUUUAAAGAAGUGUUUUCUGAUUGAAGUUUUGGUAAAAGUUCUUUGGAAUAGGACAUCAUAGAGGGUGAGAAUCCCGUAUUUGACCAUUAUUUUCAGCUGUGUGAUACACUUUCAAAGAGUCGGAUUGUUUGGGAAUGCAGUCCAAAAUGGGUGGUAAAUUUCAUCUAAAGCUAAAUAUUGGCGAGAGACCGAUAGCGAACAAGUACCGUGAGGGAAAGAUGAAAAGAACUUUGAAAAGAGAGUUAAACAGUACGUGAAAUUGUCAAAAGGGAAGCGUUUGACACCAGUGUUGUUUUCUCGAAAAUCAAUUAAAAAGAGUUUAGAUUUUGUUGUGUAUUGACCUUAACAGCUUGCAUUUCAAUUUUCUUGCUUUUUUUAAUGCACUUUUCGUUUAACAAGUCAACAUCAGUUUCUUUUGUUGUAAAAAGGUCAUUGGAAGGUGGCUUUCUUUUCGGAGAAAGUGUUUAUAGCCUUUGACUCCUGCAAUCGGAGAGACUGAGGUCUGCAGCGUAGAUCCUUCGGGGUUAGAUACAUUUGUGCUAAGUUAUAGCUUUUUAUAGACAACUUGUUGACUAUGAUUAGUCUUGUAGCUUACUCGCUUAUGCUAUUUUACCUACGCUUAGGAUGUUGACGCGCGUGUGUGCGUGAUCUAUACAUGACUCUGCGCAUAUCAAUAAGCGGAGGAAAAGGCUGCCGAACUGAACGACCGUUACCUACGCUUAGGAUGUUGAGGAUGUAGCACAUCAUACACGCAUGACACACUGCAUAUCAAUAAGCGGAGGAAAAGACAUACCUACGCUUAGGAUGUUGACACACGCGCGUGCUCGACUCUAUACAUGACUCUGUGCAUAUCAAUAAGCGGAGGAAAAGCGCAUUAAAGAUCCAGAUACCUACGCUUAGGAUGUUGACGAGACUGUCGAUCUCAUCUAUACAUGACUCUGUGCAUAUCAAUAAGCGGAGGAAAAGGCAUAUCAAUACCUACGCUUAGGAUGUUGAUGUGAUACUGCGAGCA